RNAcentral lists this ribosomal RNA (768 nucleotides) under uncultured Mycobacteriaceae bacterium. RNAcentral describes it as "SSU rRNA". It matches the Rfam family "Bacterial small subunit ribosomal RNA", at positions 98 to 865 of the family's 1533-position model. Lineage: Bacteria; Bacillati; Actinomycetota; Actinomycetes; Mycobacteriales; Mycobacteriaceae. The record is from RNAcentral.
GCGAACGGGUGAGUAACACGUGGGCAAUCUGCCCUGCACUUCGGGAUAAGCCUGGGAAAGUGGGUCUAAUACCGGAUAGGACCUCAAGACGCAUGUCUUCUGGUGGAAAGCUUUUGCGGUGUGGGAUGGGCCCGCGGCCUAUCAGCUUGUUGGUGGGGUGACGGCCUACCAAGGCGACGACGGGUAGCCGGCCUGAGAGGGUGUCCGGCCACACUGGGACUGAGAUACGGCCCAGACUCCUACGGGAGGCAGCAGUGGGGAAUAUUGCACAAUGGGCGCAAGCCUGAUGCAGCGACGCCGCGUGGGGGAUGACGGCCUUCGGGUUGUAAACCUCUUUCACCAUCGACGAAGGUCCGGGUUUUCUCGGAUUGACGGUAGGUGGAGAAGAAGCACCGGCCAACUACGUGCCAGCAGCCGCGGUAAUACGUAGGGUGCGAGCGUUGUCCGGAAUUACUGGGCGUAAAGAGCUCGUAGGUGGUUUGUCGCGUUGUUCGUGAAAUCUCACGGCUUAACUGUGAGCGUGCGGGCGAUACGGGCAGACUAGAGUACUGCAGGGGAGACUGGAAUUCCUGGUGUAGCGGUGGAAUGCGCAGAUAUCAGGAGGAACACCGGUGGCGAAGGCGGGUCUCUGGGCAGUAACUGACGCUGAGGAGCGAAAGCGUGGGGAGCGAACAGGAUUAGAUACCCUGGUAGUCCACGCCGUAAACGGUGGGUACUAGGUGUGGGUUUCCUUCCCUUGGGAUCCGUGCCGUAGCUAACGCAUUAAGU